AGCGCAACUGACGCUCAUGCUCGAAAGUGCGGGUAUCGAACAGGAUUAGAUACCCUGGUAGUCCGCACGGUAAACGAUGGAUGCCCGCUAUUUGUCCAUUAGGAUAAGUGGCCAAGUGAAAACGUUAAGCAUCCCACCUGGGGAGUACGCCGGCAACGGUGAAACUCAAAGGAAUUGACGGGGGCCCGCACAAGCGGAGGAACAUGUGGUUUAAUUCGAUGAUACGCGAGGAACCUUACCCGGGCUUGAAUUGUGAGAGAAGGAUCCAGAGAUGGUGACGCCCUUCGGGGCUCUCAUGAAGGUGCUGCAUGGUUGUCGUCAGCUCGUGCCGUGAGGUGUCGGCUUAAGUGCCAUAACGAGCGCAACCCCUCUCUUCAGUUGCCAUCAGGUUAAGCUGGGCACUCUGGAGACACUGCCACCGUAAGGUGUGAGGAAGGUGGGGAUGACGUCAAAUCAGCACGGCCCUUACGUCCGGGGCUACACACGUGUUACAAUGGGUGGUACAGAGAGUUGGGUGCCCGCAAGGUCACUCUAAUCAAUAAAUCCAUCCUCAGUUCGGACUGGGGUCUGCAACCCGACCCACGAAGCUGGAUUCGCUAGA
Molecule: ribosomal RNA, 601 nt
Filed under: uncultured bacterium
Lineage: Bacteria
Description: bacterial SSU rRNA
Rfam family: Bacterial small subunit ribosomal RNA
Source: RNAcentral